This 253-nucleotide ribosomal RNA is filed under the name uncultured bacterium. Its description in RNAcentral is "partial 16S ribosomal RNA". It matches the Rfam family "Bacterial small subunit ribosomal RNA", at positions 524 to 776 of the family's 1533-position model. The record is from RNAcentral.
UACGUAGGUGGCAAGCGUUGUCCGGAAUUAUUGGGCGUAAAGCGCGCGCAGGCGGUUCUUUAAGUCUGAUGUGAAAGCCCACGGCUCAACCGUGGAGGGUCAUUGGAAACUGGGGAACUUGAGUACAGAAGAGGAAAGCGGAAUUCCACGUGUAGCGGUGAAAUGCGCAGAUAUCAGGAAGAACACCAAUGGCGAAAGCAGCUUUCUGGGACGGUACUGACGCUGAGACGCGAAAGCGUGGGGAGCGAACAGG